GACGAACGCUGGCGGCGUGCUUAACACAUGCAAGUCGAACGGACAGGCCCUGCUUUUGUUGGGUUCUCGAGUGGCGCACGGGUGUGUAUCACGUGUGUAACCUGCCCUUGACUUUGGGAUAACUUCUGGAAACUGGGGCUAAUACCGGAUAGGAGCUCCUGCUGCAUGGUGUGGGUUGGAAAGUUUCGGCGUUUGUGGCUGGACUCGCGGCUUAUCAGCUUGUUGGUAGGGUUGUGGAUUACCAAGGAUUUGACGGGUAGCCGGCCUGGGAGGGUGACCGGCAACAGAGGAACAGGGGAACGACCCGGACGCAAACGGGGGGAAGGAGUGGGGAAUGUAGGACAAAGGGCGGAGGGAGGAGGGAGCAACGCCGCGUGGGAGAAGACGGCCUUCGGGGAGAAAACCGAUUUCGAGUGAGACGAAGCGUGAGUGACGGAAAUGGGGAAAGAGGCACCGGCAAACAAGGU
Molecule: ribosomal RNA, 467 nt
Filed under: uncultured bacterium
Lineage: Bacteria
Description: partial 16S ribosomal RNA
Rfam family: Bacterial small subunit ribosomal RNA
Source: RNAcentral